GCGAGCGUAGUUCAAUGGUAGAACGAGAGCUUCCCAAGCUCUAUACGAGGGUUCGAUUCCCUUCGCCCGCUCCA
RNAcentral lists this transfer RNA (74 nucleotides) under Enterobacter cloacae. RNAcentral's name for it is "tRNA-Gly". It matches the Rfam family "tRNA". Rfam says of the family: Transfer RNA (tRNA) molecules are approximately 80 nucleotides in length. Their secondary structure includes four short double-helical elements and three loops (D, anti-codon, and T loops). RNAcentral also lists the same sequence under 3 other names. The record is from RNAcentral. Lineage: Bacteria; Pseudomonadati; Pseudomonadota; Gammaproteobacteria; Enterobacterales; Enterobacteriaceae.